Molecule: ribosomal RNA, 526 nt
Filed under: uncultured bacterium
Lineage: Bacteria
Description: bacterial SSU rRNA
Rfam family: Bacterial small subunit ribosomal RNA
Source: RNAcentral
AAUAGAUACCCCGGUAGUCCACGCCGUAAACGAUGAGUGCUAGGUGUUGGGGGUUUCAAUACCCUCAGUGCCGCAGCUAACGCAAUAAGCACUCCGCCUGGGGAGUACGGUCGCAAGACUGAAACUCAAAGGAAUUGACGGGGGCCCGCACAAGCGGUGGAGCAUGUGGUUUAAUUCGAAGCAACGCGAAGAACCUUACCAGGUCUUGACAUCCCGCUGACCGCUCUGGAGACAGAGCUUCCCUUCGGGGCAGCGGUGACAGGUGGUGCAUGGUUGUCGUCAGCUCGUGUCGUGAGAUGUUGGGUUAAGUCCCGCAACGAGCGCAACCCUUAUCUUUAGUUGCCAGCAUUCAGUUGGGCACUCUAGAGAGACUGCCGUCGACAAGACGGAGGAAGGCGGGGAUGACGUCAAAUCAUCAUGCCCCUUAUGACCUGGGCUACACACGUGCUACAAUGGUUGGUACAACGGGAUGCUACCGUCGCGAGAGGACGCCAAUCUCUUAAAACCAAUCUCAGUUCGGAUUGUA